AUGACUUAUUAUAAAUAAUAGACUUAAAUGUUCUAGUCGCCCCUUAUAUUUCUCAAUUGUUUGAUUUUUACUCCCCUUGUUUCAAUUGUGUGAUUAUGGACCCUCAUAGAUCAUAAAGAAAUAACAAUAAUUACCAAUACACUUCAUAACUAGAGGUUUUAUUACCUUUGGGCAAUCAUCAUCAGAAACACAACGAAUAUUAGCUACACAUGACAUAUAAGAAAAAAAAUGUUACUAAAAGGUGAUAAAAUAUUAUGGGUAAAAAAACUUUAGAAUUGCAAAUUGGUGUGAAAAAUAGCAUACUUAUUGCUGUUUCAACAAGAAAUAGAGAAAGAAAGUUGAUCAAAGCAUAAACAAAC
RNAcentral lists this long non-coding RNA (359 nucleotides) under Medicago truncatula (barrel medic). RNAcentral's name for it is "lncRNA gene31454". The record is from RNAcentral. Lineage: Eukaryota; Viridiplantae; Streptophyta; Magnoliopsida; Fabales; Fabaceae.